UUGAGGUUAGGUACACGCAGCGUGUAAAUGAUCACGUGGUUCACGGUGAUUGUUAAUUAUCUCGGUUCGUUGAACUUUAUGAAUUACUGAUAAUUUUAACAUAUUAAUCUUCAAAUUGAAUGAAACGCUUGCAUAUAAACGAAGCUAUUCAUUAAUUUAUGCAGUUUUAACAAAGUAUAAGGAGUGUUUUUUUACCUGAAGUCCAAUUGGCAUUUGGUUUUUGUCAAACCCAAGUGGACAUUGUGUGACCGGAAAUCCUAGUACGUUGAAGAUCAUCAUGUAUGUAAAAUUAUUUAUGUUAUAUAAACACUCUUGAGGAUAAUACGCCGAUGAGAUAAAAGAAGGACAAAUUAAUACACCGUCAUCGCCCAGCAGCUUCUAAAUGUCAAUGAAUACAUAAUUAUUAAUCAAGAGACACAAUAGUGGCUUGUGCCAAGUGAACGCGCAGCCUGAGCCGACCGUGGUAUACAUUACACAAAUAUUUUAAUAUAUUAUAUAAUCAAAGUUUAAAAAAUGCGAUAUAUAUGAAUUUUACCUCAAA
Molecule: long non-coding RNA, 541 nt
Organism: Monomorium pharaonis (pharaoh ant)
Lineage: Eukaryota; Metazoa; Arthropoda; Insecta; Hymenoptera; Formicidae
Exons: 2
Source: RefSeq, a predicted model, not a curated record